AAAGUUUUAAGUUAAUCUAAACUAAUAAUCUUCAAAAUUAUAAAUAAAUAAAAUUUAAACUUUA
This 64-nucleotide transfer RNA is filed under the name Olinga feredayi. RNAcentral's name for it is "tRNA-Trp". The record is from RNAcentral. Lineage: Eukaryota; Metazoa; Arthropoda; Insecta; Trichoptera; Conoesucidae.